RNAcentral lists this ribosomal RNA (253 nucleotides) under uncultured bacterium. Its description in RNAcentral is "partial 16S ribosomal RNA". It matches the Rfam family "Bacterial small subunit ribosomal RNA", at positions 524 to 776 of the family's 1533-position model. The record is from RNAcentral.
UACGUAGGGGGCUAGCGUUGUCCGGAUUUAUUGGGCGUAAAGAGCGUGUAGGCGGCCAGGUAGGUCUGCUGUGAAAACUCGAGGCUCAACCUCGAGACGCCGGUGGAAACCAUCAGACUAGAGUCCGGAAGAGGAGAGUGGAAUUCCUGGUGUAGCGGUGAAAUGCGCAGAUAUCAGGAAGAACACCCGUGGCUAAGGCGGCUCUCUAGUACGGUACUGACGCUGAGACGCGAAAGCGUGGGGAGCGAACAGG